AUCGCUUCUUGGCCUUUUGGCUAAGAUCAAGUGUGGUAUCUGUUCGUAUCAGUUUAAUAAUCGUGGAUGAUGUUACAAGGCACACCUUCAUCCCUAUGGCUUUUUCAUAGUCUGAAGUGAAAUUUCUUCAAGUGAAAUUCUCUGAUAUUUUGGGUCUGCUUGAAAGGUCUGAAAAACUGGGCCAAACUGAUUUACCAGAGUUGUCCCCAUUUAAU
This is a non-coding RNA of Felis catus (domestic cat), 215 nucleotides long. The record is from Rfam. NCBI's taxonomy places the organism in Eukaryota, Metazoa, Chordata, Mammalia, Carnivora, Felidae.